RNAcentral lists this ribosomal RNA (301 nucleotides) under uncultured bacterium. Its description in RNAcentral is "partial 16S ribosomal RNA". It matches the Rfam family "Bacterial small subunit ribosomal RNA", at positions 509 to 807 of the family's 1533-position model. The record is from RNAcentral.
CAGCAGCCGCGGGAAUACAGAGGGUGCGAGCGUUAAUCGGAUUUACUGGGCGUAAAGCGUGCGUAGGCGGCUUUUUAACUCGGAUGUGAAAUCCCUGAGCUUAACUUAGGAAUUGCAUUCGAUACUGGGAAGCUAGAGUAUGGGAGAGGAUGGUAGAAUUCCAGGUGUAGCGGUGAAAUGCGUAGAGAUCUGGAGGAAUACCGAUGGCGAAGGCAGCCAUCUGGCCUAAUACUGACGCUGAGGUACGAAAGCAUGGGGAGCAAACAGGAUUAGAUACCCCGGUAGUCCCUGUCUCUUAUAC